UGUUGGGAUAGCUCAUUUGGUAAAGC
RNAcentral lists this transfer RNA (26 nucleotides) under Allium latifolium. RNAcentral's name for it is "partial tRNA-Phe". Lineage: Eukaryota; Viridiplantae; Streptophyta; Magnoliopsida; Asparagales; Amaryllidaceae. The record is from RNAcentral.